AACGUAGGAGGCGAGCGUUAUCCGGAUUCACUGGGCGUAAAGCGCGUGCAGGUGGCUUGGUAAGUUAGGCGUGAAAUCUCCCGGCUCAACUGGGAUAGGUCGUCUAAUACUACCGGGCUAGAGAACAGAAGAGGAAGAUGGAAUUCCCGGUGUAGUGGUGAAAUGCGUAGAUAUCGGGAGGAACACCAGUGGCGAAGGCGAUCUUCUGGUCUGUUUCUGACACUCAGACGCGACAGCUAGGGUAGUAAACGGG
RNAcentral lists this ribosomal RNA (253 nucleotides) under uncultured bacterium. RNAcentral's name for it is "partial 16S ribosomal RNA". It matches the Rfam family "Bacterial small subunit ribosomal RNA", at positions 524 to 776 of the family's 1533-position model. The record is from RNAcentral.